AGGAGGCAAGUACAUCACCUAGUUGUCUUCCUGAAUCAAAAUCAAGCAUCUCUAUAGAGCUCACCAUGGGCCAGGCUCUGUUUCUCCUUGCCCUUCUCAGCUACUGCUCAGGUAUCCGUUCUGAGGCAACAGUGACACAGCCGGCCUCCGCAUCGGUGUCUCUGGGACAAACAGUGAAACUCUCCUGCAUGGGAAGUAGUGAUGGUAAUUGGCUUACCUUCAGCUGGUAUCAACAGAAACCUGGACAGCCCCCUCGCUUUGUGCACUGUGAUGGCUGCAGCAGAGGAGAAGGGAUUCCCGACCGGUUCACGGCUUCUGAAUCUGGGAACACAGGCUUUUUAACCAUCACUAAUGCCCAGGCUGAAGAUGAGGCCAAUUAUCACUGUGCUGCCUGGGAGGGUACAAGCGAUAUGUCUCACAGUGGUUUAUUCUGAUGGGGAACUGAGACA
This is a non-coding RNA of Pogona vitticeps (central bearded dragon), 449 nucleotides long. The record is from the annotation of a RefSeq genome assembly. NCBI's taxonomy places the organism in Eukaryota, Metazoa, Chordata, Lepidosauria, Squamata, Agamidae.